This 558-nucleotide ribosomal RNA is filed under the name Carbacanthographis chionophora. Its description in RNAcentral is "SSU rRNA". It matches the Rfam family "Bacterial small subunit ribosomal RNA", at positions 381 to 942 of the family's 1533-position model. The record is from RNAcentral. Lineage: Eukaryota; Fungi; Ascomycota; Lecanoromycetes; Ostropales; Graphidaceae.
GGCUGAACCAGCAACUUGGAGGAAUGUAUAGGGAAAACCGGUAAAAGGUAAUGUACCUAGUAGUAUUAGCAAUUAAUAUGAGAUUAACAAAGUUAAUUAAAAUUCUAAGCAAAUGUGUGAUAAUGACAAUAUUUGUUUAUGUCUUGACCAAAUCACGUGCCAGCAGUCGCGGUAAUACGUGGAAGAUAAGUGUUAUUCAUCUUUAACAGGUUUAAAGGGUACCUAGACGGUUAAUUAAGCAGUAACAUGUACUAAUUAACUAGAGUUUAAUGUAAGAAGGAUUGAGUACGGUGAGUGUAGAGAUAAAAUUUUAUGAUACCACUUAGGAACUGGUAAAGGCGAAGGCAACCUUCAAUGUAAAAACUGACGUUAAGGGACGAAGGCUCGUUUUAAAAAAUAGGAUUAGAUACCCUAGUAUUGUGAGCAGACAAUGAUGAGUGUCAUAUGCAAGAAAAUUUUGUGUAUAAAUGAAAGUGUAAGCACUCCACCUCAAGAGUAACAUGGCAACAUGGGAACUGAAAUCAUUAGACCGUUUCUGAAACUCGUAGUGAAGUAUGU